GACGUAGGGGGCGAGCGUUGUCCGGAUUUAUUGGGCGUAAAGCGCGCGUAGGCGGCCUGUUAAGUCGGGUGUGAAAACCCGGGGCUCAACCCCGGGCCUGCAUUCGAUACUGACAGGCUAGAGGCAGGCAGGGGAGAUCGGAAUUCCUGGUGUAGCGGUGAAAUGCGCAGAUAUCAGGAGGAACACCGGUGGCGAAGGCGGAUCUCUGGGCCUGUCCUGACGCUCAGGCGCGAAAGCUAGGGGAGCAAACAGG
This 253-nucleotide ribosomal RNA is filed under the name uncultured bacterium. RNAcentral describes it as "partial 16S ribosomal RNA". It matches the Rfam family "Bacterial small subunit ribosomal RNA", at positions 524 to 776 of the family's 1533-position model. The record is from RNAcentral.